Amphimedon queenslandica is the source of this 155-nucleotide long non-coding RNA. RefSeq lists it as uncharacterized. NCBI's taxonomy places the organism in Eukaryota, Metazoa, Porifera, Demospongiae, Haplosclerida, Niphatidae. The record is from RefSeq and is a predicted model, not a curated record. The transcript has 3 exons.
UAGCUUAAUAAUUGAGGACAUCUUCAAACAGAAGAAGUUGUGUUUUGUUCCACAAAUCGAUGAUGGUGUUCAAAUGAACAUGUUGCAAGUUCAUUCGCUUGAGGAUAUUAAGUCCCUUCCAAAUUAUAUUUGGGGGGUAAAAUCAAUAAAACAAC